UACAGGACCGCCGCUAUAGCUGGGGAAAUGCCAAAUGGGCUACAGGACCGUGCCGGCCUAGCUGUACGUUCGCUCGCUCGUAGUGGCAUGGCGGACGGGCGGCAGAGAGAAGCAGGCAGGAAAGGCGGGAAGGAGAAAGGGAUUUCAAGCGGUCGUCUCUUCUCGUCUGCCUCUGCGCUCUACCUACCUAUGUAUACGUACCCGUCCCGGGUGCUCUCUCCGGGUACUCUUCUCUCCACUACCUGGAACGCACCGUCCUGGCCGUACCUAACCUCCACUGUUUUCUGCGGCUAGCGCCCUUGCCGAUGUUCCUCGCAUCGCCAUCGGAGCACGUAGCCGCUUACGCAGACUUCGAUGUCAUUCAUCUUGAGCGAGGAGGAAGAGUAGCGUUUCGUCGAUGCGAUGGAAGAGAAAUCCAACUUUAUCGUGUGUUUUUUGAAUUUGCCGCUGAUUGCUGUGGGUGGAUAUAUACAGGCGCAAGAACAGCAUGCUUUCGACAAUCGUCGACGAGAUACGUCGCGUCGGUCCACGCAAUGACGUCAGAGGCUGGUCCAAUCCUGUCGGAUACGUCCGUGGCCCGAUCUCACCCUAUUGAAGGCGGGAGAAGGAGAAACGCAAUGAGAGGAGAGAGACGGAGGAGAGUCGCAGAGGGACGCAAGAACCAGCAAAUGAGAACACAGCCUGACAAAUAGAAGGAGAAGACAGUUCGAGUUCCGCUCUCCUGCUCUUACGAGACAUCGUGGCACGUCGAUCCGAGCCUCGCGAUAUUGUUGCCAGAACUGUUCGCUACAAUGUCCAGAAUUUUUCCUGAUCUCCCAAUCACUGGUACCUCCAACUUACAUUAUCCUCAAUGACACGUGCGUGUAUAUGCGUAUAUACGCAUGUAUACGCACGCAUGUUUCUCUUUGCAACAUAAUCUAUUGUUUCUUUCGCGCGAAAGUACAAGAAUCAUCGAUGGUAAAAUAAUUUGAGUAGUAGUUGUUUGAAUUAAAAAUUCGUCGAAAGUAUCUACUACUAACAGAAUCAGUAGUAUCGAGUAAUUUAACUAAAAUUUCAUCGAUUUAUCUCUUUCUUUUAAAUCUGCCACGUUGGCAUUUUAAGUUUAUAAAUUACGAGAGAAUCUCGGUGCUUUGUGCAGGAUAGAAUUUGAAAUUUCAAAUAAAAAUCCCGCCUUUCGCGAAGUUCAUUGCAUAUUUAUGUAUCGACUGGAGACAGUAAUAAAUGGACUUACAAAUUGGUUCUCUCCGCGAAAUUGUUCAUUGCCACUGCAAAUUGAAACGGUUAAUCAUUAAAAAUUAAAUAUCUGCACAUGAAUUUUCAAAUACUGUAGAUGCAUAUUUAAUAUACGAAUUUAUCAAAUUAUUAACGAGUUCCUAAUAGUAUCGAAAGAUUGACAGAAUCUUACAUCACGUUCACUGUUCAAAAUUUAUAAUUCAUCGAUCCCCUCGUUAAUGAGUAUAAAUAUGUGAUUUAUCGAGCCGAAUUUACGAAAUGGGAAAGCUGAAUCUACUUUUAUCUCAUUCAGGAUGAUUGGUAUUAUCAAUACUUCCAUUAAACGGGACUAAAUGUCAUUUCAUUUCUCGCUUAUCAAUAAAGAACCAGCAUAUCAUUCAAAUUAUGGUCAAUUCAAUGCCCGAUCAAAUUUACGAAAACGAUUCAGUAACAAUAAAUGCAAGAUCUUUUACUUCUAUUCAUUUGCAAUUAGAUAUUCAAAUGAGACCCGCGUAACCAAGUUUAAUGAAAGGAAGUUUCAUAACGUCUCUCGUAGUGAUAUUGAAUUACUUAAAACGAUCGAUCUCACAGUGUUAUUCGUAA
Ceratina calcarata is the source of this 1815-nucleotide long non-coding RNA. RefSeq lists it as uncharacterized. NCBI's taxonomy places the organism in Eukaryota, Metazoa, Arthropoda, Insecta, Hymenoptera, Apidae. The transcript has 3 exons. The record is from RefSeq and is a predicted model, not a curated record.